Pelobates cultripes (western spadefoot toad) is the source of this 232-nucleotide non-coding RNA. The record is from the annotation of a GenBank genome assembly. NCBI's taxonomy places the organism in Eukaryota, Metazoa, Chordata, Amphibia, Anura, Pelobatidae.
CUGCAAUAAGGUGUUGGUACAAGUGCCCACAGUCCCUCCUAGACUUUGCUGCAUCGAAAUAUCUGUUUUUCUAUGGGUACACCCAGGUAUGCUUAUAAUAUGCAUCAAAUAGAUAAGUGAGAUAGAGGCAUUAAUGUAGUGAUGGUGUAGAGUUUGAUACAUGAAUGGAAAUUUACCAGGAUUAGUCACUAAAUUAUGUUUUUUUUUGUGACUUCUCUCAUUUUCAAGCUAU